Molecule: ribosomal RNA, 478 nt
Filed under: uncultured bacterium
Lineage: Bacteria
Description: partial 16S ribosomal RNA
Rfam family: Bacterial small subunit ribosomal RNA
Source: RNAcentral
GACGAACGCUGGCGGCGUGCUUAACACAUGCAAGUCGAACGGUAAGGCCCUUCGGGGUACACGAGUGGCGAACGGGUGAGUAACACGUGGGUGAUCUGCCCUGCACUUCGGGAUAAGCCUGGGAAACUGGGUCUAAUACCGGAUAGGACUCCGGACUGCAUGGUCUGGGGUGGAAAGCUUUUGCGGUGUGGGAUGGGCCCGCGGCCUAUCAGCUGGUUGGUGGGGUGAUGGCCUACCAAGGCGACGACGGGUAGCCGGCCUGAGAGGGUGACCGGCCCCACUGGGACUGAGAUACGGCCCAGACUCCUACGGGAGGCAGCAGUGGGGAAUGUUGCGCAAUGGGCGCAAGCCUGAUGCAGCGACGCCGCGUGAGGGAUGACGGCCUUCGGGUUGUAAACCUCUUUCAGCAUCGACGAAGCGAAAGUGACGGUAGGUGCAGAAGAAGGACCGGCCAACUACGUGCCAGCAGCCGCCGUAA